GUGGUACUUACUUUGGCAACACAUACACUAAAAAUGGAAUGAUACAAAGAAGAUUAGCAUGGCUUCUGUGCAAGCAUGAUUCCUAUAUGUGUGAAGCGUUCCAUAUUUUU
This is a small nuclear RNA of Talpa occidentalis (Iberian mole), 110 nucleotides long. NCBI's taxonomy places the organism in Eukaryota, Metazoa, Chordata, Mammalia, Eulipotyphla, Talpidae. The record is from RefSeq and is a predicted model, not a curated record.